GACGAACGCUGGCGGCGUGCUUAACACAUGCAAGUCGAACGGAAAGGCCUUUUCGGAGGUACUCGAGUGGCGAACGGGUGAGUAACACGUGGGUGAUCUGCCCUGCACUCUGGGAUAAGCCUGGGAAACUGGGUCUAAUACCGGAUAGGACCGCACUUUAGUGUGUGUGGUGGAAAGUUUUUUCGGUGUAGGAUGAGCCCGCGGCCUAUCAGCUUGUUGGUGGGGUAAUGGCCUACCAAGGCGGCGACGGGUAGCCGGACUGAGAGGUUGGUCGGCCACAUUGGGACUGAGAUACGGCCCAGACUCCUACGGGAGGCAGCAGUGGGGAAUAUUGCACAAUGGGCGCAAGCCUGAUGCAGCGACGCCGCGUGGGGGAUGACGGCCUUCGGGUUGUAAACUCCUUUCGCCAGGGACGAAGCGUUUUGUGACGGUACCUGGAGAAGAAACACCGGCUAACUACGU
Molecule: ribosomal RNA, 462 nt
Filed under: uncultured bacterium
Lineage: Bacteria
Description: partial 16S ribosomal RNA
Rfam family: Bacterial small subunit ribosomal RNA
Source: RNAcentral